UACGGAGGAUGCAAGCGUUAUCCGGAUUUAUUGGGUUUAAAGGGUGCGUAGGCGGAGACUUAGGCGUGAGGUGAAAUGCCCGGGCUCAACCUGGGAACUGCCUCGCGAACUGGGUUUCUGGAAUGCCCCUGCCGUGUGAGGAAUGUGUGGUGUAGCGGUGAAAUGCAUAGAGAUCACACAGAACACCGAUUGCGAAGGCAUCUCACGAAGGGGCGAUUGACGCUGAGGCACGAAAGCGUGGGGAUCAAAC
This 250-nucleotide ribosomal RNA is filed under the name uncultured prokaryote. RNAcentral's name for it is "partial 16S ribosomal RNA". It matches the Rfam family "Bacterial small subunit ribosomal RNA", at positions 524 to 773 of the family's 1533-position model. The record is from RNAcentral.